AUAUAGCUCAGUGGCACAGUGCCUGUCUGACAAGCAUGAGGUCCUGAGUUCAAUUUCCAGUAU
RNAcentral lists this transfer RNA (63 nucleotides) under Cavia porcellus (domestic guinea pig). It matches the Rfam family "tRNA", at positions 5 to 66 of the family's 71-position model. Rfam says of the family: Transfer RNA (tRNA) molecules are approximately 80 nucleotides in length. Their secondary structure includes four short double-helical elements and three loops (D, anti-codon, and T loops). Further hydrogen bonds mediate the characteristic L-shaped molecular structure. tRNAs have two regions of fundamental functional importance: the anti-codon, which is responsible for specific mRNA codon recognition, and the 3' end, to which the tRNAs corresponding amino acid is attached (by aminoacyl-tRNA synthetases). tRNAs cope with the degeneracy of the genetic code in two manners: having more than one tRNA (with a specific anti-codon) for a particular amino acid; and 'wobble' base-pairing, i.e. permitting non-standard base-pairing at the 3rd anti-codon position. The record is from Rfam by way of RNAcentral. Lineage: Eukaryota; Metazoa; Chordata; Mammalia; Rodentia; Caviidae.